Molecule: ribosomal RNA, 468 nt
Filed under: uncultured bacterium
Lineage: Bacteria
Description: partial 16S ribosomal RNA
Rfam family: Bacterial small subunit ribosomal RNA
Source: RNAcentral
GACGAACGCUGGCGGCGUGCUUAACACAUGCAAGUCGAACGGAAAGGCCCUGCUUUUUUGGGGUUCUCGAGUGGCGAACGGGUGUGUAACACGUGAGUAACCUUGCUUUGACUUUGGGAUGUCCUCAGGAAAGUGCGGAUAAUACCUGCUAGGUGCUCCUGCUGCUGGGGGGGGGUUGGAAAGUUUGGGCGGUUGGGGAUGGACGCGCGGUUUAAUAGCUUGUUGGUGGGGUAGUGGCUUACCAAGGCUUUGACGGGUAGCCGGCCUGAGAGGUUGACCGCGCACAAUAGGACUAAGAGACGGACCAGACUCGUACAUGAGGCAGUAGUCGGGAAUAUGACACAGUGGGCGCAAGCCUGUGGCAACAGCGCCCGGUGCGGGAUGACCGCCUUCGGGGUGUAAACCGCAUUCGCCUAUGACGAAGCGUGAGUGACGGUAAUGGGUAAAGAAGCACCGGCUAACUACGUG